This 387-nucleotide unclassified non-coding RNA is filed under the name Hevea brasiliensis (rubber tree). The record is from RNAcentral. Lineage: Eukaryota; Viridiplantae; Streptophyta; Magnoliopsida; Malpighiales; Euphorbiaceae.
GUAGAAGAGAAGUCAAAAUUAUUUGAGAUUGUGGUUUUUUUUGGGGGUAUUUGGGUGUGGAGCAAUGCAUUCAUUUUCAAAAAGAGGUUGUUUGGAGUUUCUAUAAGCGUUUUUUCAGCUUGAUUGGACAGCAUUACUUUUUUUGGCUUUUAUAUGUUUAUGCUUUAUUAUAGGAUGAUACCUUCUUGGUCCCACUUAAUGGAGAAGCUUUACGGUACUUCUAUAUUAGUGACAUUUUUAUGCUGUGGUCAUGCAUAAGUUAUUCUUACAUUGGUUUUCAUAAUGAAACAGUUUUCCCUAUUCCACUUUGUAUUUGUUCUUAGCCAUGAAGCAGCAAUGUAAACCUCGCUCUCUCUUGCUUGCAGUUUCCAGCAAAUAUCUCUGAAC